RNAcentral lists this long non-coding RNA (606 nucleotides) under Salmo salar (Atlantic salmon). Its description in RNAcentral is "lncRNA (ENSSSAG00000088882.1)". Lineage: Eukaryota; Metazoa; Chordata; Actinopteri; Salmoniformes; Salmonidae. The record is from RNAcentral.
GUUUGAGAACACGUGACCUAAUCUGAUCAUACGAUUGUGUCUAGGAUUUGGAAGAAGGGGUUUUCUGGCUACAUCGUGCGCUCGAGGCUCGAAGGUUUUGCGCUCAUAGCCUAUAUGUUUUUCCCUCCACUCUCUCGCUAGCUCGCUUGUGCCACUGCUCCGCCUACCCUUUUCGCAACAUUGACGCAACCUAUAAAUACUGGAACAAAAGAACAACUUCCUUGACUCCUGCUGAAACUGCACUUAAUCGGGACACGGAUCCCUGUUGUCAAGUGAAAGGAAAUAUUGAGACGGGGGUUUAUCUGGCAGCGAUUUGAGCUGUGUCAUCCCACUCGAUCACUGGUCUCCGAGGCGCAUAGCAAACCGUUAUUGUCCUAUUGCUUUGUCGCGCUGGUAUUUGCAGUGUGUGAACAAAGGACUGGGGAUAGUCGGCUCGGCAGAGAGCGUCAGUGGAAAGCAGGCGGGCUGUUUACAAUAAUAACACGAUCCCGGUGACGUCACCUAACUGACAGAAGCCUCCGCCAGAGGUAAAGCCGCUUAACCAUCGCCAACACGCUAUACUUGGAAAGUGGUUACAUCAUCGAGGUACAGAAGGAGGGCGGGACU